GAUGAACGCUGGCGGCGUGCCUAAUACAUGCAAGUCGAGCGAACAGACGAGGAGCUUGCUCCUCUGACGUUAGCGGCGGACGGGUGAGUAACACGUGGAUAACCUACCUAUAAGACUGGGAUAACUUCGGGAAACCGGAGCUAAUACCGGAUAAUAUAUUGAACCGCAUGGUUCAAUAGUGAAAGACGGUUUUGCUGUCACUUAUAGAUGGAUCCGCGCCGCAUUAGCUAGUUGGUAAGGUAACGGCUUAUCAAGGCAACGAUGCGUAGCCGACCUGAGAGGGUGAUCGGCCACACUGGAACUGAGACACGGUCCAGACUCCUACGGGAGGCAGCAGUAGGGAAUCUUCCGCAAUGGGCGAAAGCCUUACGGAGCAACGCCGCGUGAGUGAUGAAGGUCUUCGGAUCGUAAAACUCUGUUAUUAGGGAAGAACAAAUGUGUAAGUAACUAUGCACGUCUUGACGGUACCUAAUCAGAAAGCCACGGCUAACUACGUG
RNAcentral lists this ribosomal RNA (497 nucleotides) under uncultured bacterium. Its description in RNAcentral is "partial 16S ribosomal RNA". It matches the Rfam family "Bacterial small subunit ribosomal RNA", at positions 28 to 507 of the family's 1533-position model. The record is from RNAcentral.